UCAACCCAUUUAACCUUCUAACCCAUCAAAUUAAAUGAGUUCAUGGGUUGACUCAACCCAUGGGUUGACUCAACCCAUGAAUUCAUUUAACUCUAAACUCAUCGGAUAAUGAGU
Molecule: microRNA precursor, 114 nt
Filed under: Arabidopsis lyrata subsp. lyrata
Lineage: Eukaryota; Viridiplantae; Streptophyta; Magnoliopsida; Brassicales; Brassicaceae
Description: pre miRNA MIR405
Source: RNAcentral